RNAcentral lists this long non-coding RNA (1553 nucleotides) under Androctonus crassicauda. The record is from RNAcentral. Lineage: Eukaryota; Metazoa; Arthropoda; Arachnida; Scorpiones; Buthidae.
AAUAAUAUAUCAUCACAUUAUCAUAUAAUAUGCAUUAUAUGAUAAUAUGAAGAAGUAGAUGUUAAUAUCAUUUACAUGCAUAUUAACGUCUACAUGUCGAAGCACGAAAUAAACGACAGGCAUUAAGACGCGCUAUAACGUGACUUAUUAUUCAUAGUUGUGUCAUACUAGAUUGUCAGACAUGAAAACGCGAUGCAGUCAAAAUGGAAUUUUACCGACGAAUCUUUAAUUUUCUAACGUGUACAGUUUUGAAAUUAAUUUUUAAUAUAACGGAAUAUUCGAUUUGCACUGUUAAUCAUCAGUCAGUUGGAUUCCAUCUUUUAUUUGAUGUUUUGGUGUUAGGCGCGGCAGUUUUGGAGUUGAUUAUAUUGCAAACUGCAGCGUUGCAGUUUGCAAUACAACCUAACUCCGAAACUAUGUUCAGUUUUUGCCUGAGGUUAAUUUGAAAAAAGAUUUUUAGUUAAAACAUUAUUUAUGCUGCUCAGACGGCAUUAGCGGUAGCCGGUGGAGAAUGCAUUGCAUCGUGACGCAACGCAUUCUCAGCAAGCAGAGCAGUUCGAUUAUUAUCCCUAAACUCAGAGGCAAACUACAUUUUUUCCGACUUUAUCACCUCUUUUAAGAAUAGAAAUAAGACUACACUCACCAUCUGACCCCUUGUGUUUUAAAUGCGACUGAAAGGAUCAUUUUGUGUUGGGAGUUGCUGAUGUCUGCCAUUGAGCACACACUUGCUGGCCUAUGUACAGAAUUGGAUUUCUUUCAUAGUGGCUAUGCCUAUCACUAAGGUCUCCCUAAGGCUCAUACAGAUUUUAAGACUUACCCAAAAGGGCUGCAAGGCCCUGCUUCAUCAUAUGCACUAUAGGCUUUACAUCCUACAGAGCUAAUCAUAGCUAAAAAUCAAUGGGGACAAGUCCACCAUUUCUUGGUCUGCAGAAUGAGAGCAGUCAGGAUGAACCAGCUGUCCUAUUAGGAAGAAGCCUCUCCUCCCUCUGCCCCUCUUGUUUGAUGUUGCUAUAACAACUGGUAACAGCUGAGAAAAGAUAGUAUGAAUUGCCUGACAACUUGUGUACUGAAAGAUCAGACAAGACAACCCAACCAAAAGUGAGGUUCAAUGCUGAUGGGUCCUUCAGCUACAGGAGGACCCUUGAAAAGUCAGCACAACCAUGAUAAAGUUGAAGGAGGCUGGAUGCAAAUAUAGCUCCACUCAGCUAAAGGUCCUUGCAAUGUAUCUUCAGCUCUGACAGCACCUAGAUUUCAGAUAACUUUUGCUACUACUGGCAGGGAAGGGCACUCAAGGCAUUUAUUUUCCACUAACAUUGUCAUACAAUCACAUGUAAUCAGGAGAGGUAUGACAAAUCUCCAUUUCAUACCAGAUGCAGUCUGUGUGGCCCAAAAGAGAACUGCUAUGGGAAAAUAUCAAAUAAUGCCAUGAAUUGACUGAAAUAUCAAUACAUAAGCAUUAAAUGCAGUAACUAAAUUUAUUCUAAAAUGAAACAUAUCUUAAAGCAUCAAAAGAAAUGUUUUUGAUCCAUAUUGGAUCCUCUUCAGUCUCUAAU